RNAcentral lists this ribosomal RNA (491 nucleotides) under uncultured bacterium. RNAcentral's name for it is "partial 16S ribosomal RNA". It matches the Rfam family "Bacterial small subunit ribosomal RNA", at positions 29 to 506 of the family's 1533-position model. The record is from RNAcentral.
AGUGAACGCUGGCGGUAGGCCUAACACAUGCAAGUCGAACGGCAGCACAGUAAGAGCUUGCUCUUACGGGUGGCGAGUGGCGGACGGGUGAGGAAUACAUCGGAAUCUACUUUUUCGUGGGGGAUAACGUAGGGAAACUUACGCUAAUACCGCAUACGACCUACGGGUGAAAGCAGGGGAUCUUCGGACCUUGCGCGAUUGAAUGAGCCGAUGUCGGAUUAGCUAGUUGGCGGGGUAAAGGCCCACCAAGGCGACGAUCCGUAGCUGGUCUGAGAGGAUGACCCCCCCCACUGGCCCUGACACCCGUCCCCGCUCCCUCCGGGAGGCCCCAGGGGGAAAUUUUGACCAAAGGGCGCAACCCUGACCCAGCCAACCCGCGGGGGUGAAGAAGGCCUUCGGGUUGUAAAGCCCUUUUUUUGGAAAAGAAAACCAGCAGGUUAAAACCCCGCUUUUCUGACGGUACCCAAAAAAUACGCCCCGGCUACUUCCGU